Long non-coding RNA from Felis catus (domestic cat), 3584 nucleotides. RefSeq lists it as uncharacterized. The record is from RefSeq and is a predicted model, not a curated record. NCBI's taxonomy places the organism in Eukaryota, Metazoa, Chordata, Mammalia, Carnivora, Felidae. The transcript is spliced from 3 exons.
AGCCUUGAGAAUAUCACGGUAAGAAUUUAAGCUUUAGUUUUCUUUGCAAUAUUUUCUCAGUACUGGUGUUUGAUGUGGGUUGUUUUUUUUUAAUGUUUGAGAGAGAAAGAGUGCAAGUGGGGGAGGGACAGAGAGGGAUAGACACACGCAGAGUCCAAAGUGGGCACCAGGUCUUAGCUGUCACCACAGAGCCCCAUGGGAGGGUAGAACCCAUUAAGAGUGAGAUCAUGCAUGACCUGAGCCAAAGUCAGACACUCAACCAACUGAGCCACCUAGGCGCCCCUUGAUGUGCGUUUUGAUUCACCUAAGGAUAAAUAUGGGGACUUCUGAUGUCUAAUUGACUUUUUAACUCUUGAAAUUCAUCUUUCUCUUCCCUGUUUGGAGUCUAAGUGACAAUGUGGAGGGAGUUGCCAUCUCUUAAGACAUCAGGAGGAGGAACACAUCACCAGAGUAGAGGGAAUGAAAUUAGUGUAAUUUUACAUAGAAAUGAUUAGGAAACAAGUGAUGAUAUGAGCCUGAGGUUUGGAGUGAGUACUUUGCCAUGACCUGGCUCUUCGUGAAAUGUGAAGAUGAGAAAACUCUCUAUCUACAAGCCCAUCAAGAAGCCUGAGCUUAGAGACAAAGCCAGAUAUUGCCAGGCAGGGUGUGUGUCACAAGAGAGGUUUAAACCAUGGUUCUGAGUCUGAGGUGGAGGAAGCCGUUCAUGCCAGGGGAGAAUGAGUGGAGAUGAGAUUUUUGCAAAUGCGGGUAAUGUAUUCUGCACAGGCUCCAUAGACUGUGGUGAUCCUGUGGCGCUGUCUGUUGAGAGCCAGGGUGGCUGCCUGACACUUAAUGAGCCCUCAAAGGCUGGUUGUUCAUCCCUUUGAAUGCAGUGGCGGUGGUGGGGAGAAGAGUGAUCUCAGGACAUGAGAGCUCUCACACUGGGCCAACAAAAGAGAAGUUUGCACUUUAUGGUCAGAUGACAGAAUCAGUCCCUGUUAGAGGAGUCUGUUCUAGAGCUUACAUGUGUUGCCUGUAAUUGGGUCCUUCGUGUGUGUUGAAUAAUAUUCCUUUAAGGUUGGAGGCUAACAUUCUCACGUUGGGAUGAAAAAAGUUUGUCUUCUAGGAAUUGCCAUUAAUCCACAUCCUCCAGCCACUAAGUGUAAAGCUGAGAUGGUACCCGUAUGUUUGAUUCCAAAGACCUUGUCCUCCAGGGCCCCCGGCCUAGGGUUCACGAAGGGCAACCUGUGAGCAGCAGGAAGUCAUCCAACGCCUUCGAGUAGUCAGUCAGUCAGCAGCAGUUUGAGCUUUCCUUGUGUGGAAUUCCAAAUAGCACCUGGGAGUGUGAGUGGCUCAAAUCGAGACUAAAGGAUGGUUUUGUUUGUUCCAUUAUUUGCAGGGACCUAUUUAUGUACCUUAAUAAUUGGAGGAGAGAAAUGUAAGUUGAUAGGAUUUGAUUUUUGUUUCAUCUCUGGUGGUGACAUAAGUAUUUGAAGUGAUUGGAUUUUCUAAGAAGGGUGCUUCCAGAUGGGAGAGAAAUGAGAAGAUAUUUUAUUGUGUUUCUCCAUUUUGGACAAUAUUUUAAAUAGGAAUCUCAUUGAAAUAGGGUUUUCUUAGGUUUAACAUGCUGCUAAAACUUGAUUUCUUCAGGCACAACGGGAAAGCUAAAAUGUUAGUUACACCCACCUGUCAGAUCAUGUGUGCUGCUAAUACACUGGGAUUAUUUGAUGUCACUGGUUUGGUAACAGCCUUAGAACAUGUUUUGUCUCCUUUUAGUUAGUUUACAGUGAAUAAUUGAGAAGAUCCAUACUUUUAAGAAAGAAAACAGAGAACUUCAUUGCUGAAAAAAUAUCCAUUUGGGAACAGAAGAAAAUAAAAAGGCCCUGGAAGACAAGUGUAAUGCAUUGAGGUCUGUGAAAGCAACCAAAGAAGCAAAAGUCAAACAGCUGAAGGACAAAGCAGGCAUCCUUGAAGAAUUCUAUGAAGAAAGAAAAGUGGCUAUAGAAGACUAAAAUGUUCAGGUGAGAACUAUCACAAGUACUGUUGUAUGAAUGAAUGUGACGGCCAGUAGAGAUAACUAAAAUUCUUUUCAAAUUUUUUGCCAAAUGCACUCAGAAUUGUGCCUGUCCUUCUUACCUGGCUUUCUGUCACCCGCAUUUUCCUUUCUGUCCUAAGUGCUUGUCACAUAUUGUGUCAUGUAUUUGGGGUGGAAGAGGGAAGGUAUCAGCAUUAAUAACAUUGAUAUCUGUAUCUGCUUGGGAUUCAGUCCCAUCACGUUGUCUUGUCAUCCAGGAAUUAGGUCAUUUUUGUUCAGGACCACACAUGGGUCAAGAAUGUGUAGGGGAAAAAUCAAUGAUUUUGCUGCAGAAACCACAGAAAUUUAUUUCUGGAAAGGGGGUAGGGGUGCCAGUAGUACUGGAUCCCUGCAUCAGUUCUGCUAGUGAGAUUGUUCACAGCAGGCCAAUCCCUAAGGAAGCUGAGUUAUUUCCUGUCCCCCGAUUUUUGAAGUGUAACUCUUCUGAGUCUUGACCAAAGCCCGCAGCUUCACCAGGGCUCAUCUUUGCUGGCUGCCUCUGAACUAAACACGUUUCCUUCUAAGUCUGUGCCCAUAAAGUUGUUCAGCUAUUUUGCAGUUCAGUUUUCUAUCCCCAAGUUCAUUGAUGAGUCCUGGGGAGAUUGGUUCCCACUGCCAGGCUGGCUUUGUCCUGGGCUUCCUUCUUCUCCAUCUUGGUCACAUGUGUCUUCAUGGGGUCAUUAGAAAUGUGGUGCAUUCGCUCACAUGUUUCCUCCUUUGUACAGUAUUUCCUUUUGUUCUCAGGAGGAGAUCAGGGCCUUUAGAGUCCCUCAUUCACAUUGAAAAGGAAAUACUUCCUUCUCUUCCCUGGAGACUCAGCUUCUGUUAGUCCUUCCCACACCUGGGGUGGAGCCUGCUCUGUCUCACUGGCAUCUUGUUUUUAUCAUUUCUAAGCUCUUUUGGGGAGCACGUACAGCACCCUGGCCACCUUUCUAUUUUCAAUCCCUUACAACAGAACCACUACAUUCCAGCCACUCCAGAAAGCAUUUGUUGAAGGACUGCCUGAGAUGCCGGAAGGAAAUGCAUGUGCCUUUCUCUGUCUAGAGGUUUUGUGUCCGUUUCUAGGAGUCUUUCAAUUUUGCAUGUGACUCUUGAAUACAUCCAGUACCAAGUUGAAACCCUUUAAAGUAACACCAUGAACAAAAUAGUCUGAGAGCAACACAGCAAACCAGCCUUUCUAAGCAUUUCCCUUUGCUGCCUUCACUGUCAAUGAACUGAGUCUUCUUCAAGUACAUUGGCUUCAUGAAGUUGAUAGUUUUCCAUCUGAAAUCUGUUUCCUGGAGAUAAACCCAGACUGUGUGACAGUUCAUAUCAGGUUCUACCUCAGGUGAUGUUGCUGCUCUAAGAUUGGCCUUUUCCUCCACCAGGAUAUGUGAAGGUGGACGCAGGGGUUGUACUCCUGACUCUAGCAAUGUCUGGGAGUGAGCUGCAAUGUUGGGGAAGCCAUAUCCUGGAAGGUCGUCUUUUAGGGUGAUUGUCUUUGUCAGGGUACAACUUCUGGACUGAGAAUCAGGGCUCCCCACGGAGGUGU